UGAGUAACCUGCCCUUAACUCUGGGAUAAGCCUGGGAAACUGGGUCUAAUACCGGAUAUGACUCCUCAUCGCAUGGGUGGGGGGUGGAAAGCUUUUUGUGGUUUUGGAUGGACUCGCGGCCUAUCAGCUAGUUGGUGUGGGUAAUGGCCCACCAAGCCGACGACGGGUAGCCGGCUGAGAGGGUGACCGGCCACACUGGGACUGAGACACGGCCCAGACUCCUACGGGAGCAG
RNAcentral lists this ribosomal RNA (233 nucleotides) under uncultured bacterium. Its description in RNAcentral is "partial 16S ribosomal RNA". It matches the Rfam family "Bacterial small subunit ribosomal RNA", at positions 118 to 347 of the family's 1533-position model. The record is from RNAcentral.